UAGGGAAUCUUCCACAAUGGACGCAAGUCUGAUGGAGCAACGCCGCGUGAGUGAAGAAGGUUUUCGGAUCGUAAAGCUCUGUUGUUGGUGAAGAAGGAUAGGAGCAGUAACUGGUUUCUAUUUGACGGUAAUCAACCAGAAAGUCACGGCUAACUACGUGCCAGCAGCCGCGGUAAUACGUAGGUGGCAAGCGUUGUCCGGAUUUAUUGGGCGUAAAGCGAGCGCAGGCGGAAUGAUAAGUCUGAUGUGAAAGCCCACGGCUCAACCGUGGAACUGCAUCGGAAACUGUCAUUCUUGAGUGCAGAAGAGGAGAGUGGAACUCCAUGUGUAGCGGUGGAAUGCGUAGAUAUAUGGAAGAACACCAGUGGCGAAGGCGGCUCUCUGGUCUGCAACUGACGCUGAGGCUCGAAAGCAUGGGUAGCGAACAGG
This 429-nucleotide ribosomal RNA is filed under the name Bacillota bacterium. RNAcentral's name for it is "Firmicutes bacterium partial 16S ribosomal RNA". It matches the Rfam family "Bacterial small subunit ribosomal RNA", at positions 355 to 776 of the family's 1533-position model. Lineage: Bacteria; Bacillati; Bacillota. RNAcentral also lists the same sequence under 2 other names. The record is from RNAcentral.